AUGGGUGAUGCUGAUGACAUAGAGAUGGAUGAGGGAAAGAAACAGAGAGAGUAUGAUGAAGUAGAAGAGGAAGAAACAGAUGAUGAAGAAUCUGAGGAGGAAGAAAUGGUGCAUUACUCUGGUGACACGGAGGUUGAGGAACCUUUUGAAAUGGAUGAAGAUGACAAGGUUGUUUCACAGGAUGAAGAAACUGUAAUUGUACAUGAAGAGAAGAAGAAGAAGAAACAGAAGCUUCCAGUUAGGAAAGGGCCUACAACAAGGACACAUUCAAGUGUAGUUCAAGAGGAGGAACCUGAUUUCCAACCUUCAUCUGAUGAAGAACAGAAAGGAUUGUUGAAGGAGGCUGAUGAUGAUGGUUAUGAGCCAUUGGCAUUUGUGCUGCCAAAGAAAAGGAAGAGCAGGGCAAAGCAGAGGCCUCCUAGAAAAUGGUACAAUGAGAAAAUGGAGGCACCACAUGAGCAAUUAUGUCUACAGAUGUGUUUCAAGGAUCAACAUCAAUUCAGAGAGGCUUUGUUGAACUUACACAUUACUCAAGGCAGAAACUUCAAAUAUCAUAGGAACUCAUAUCAAAGAAUAAUUGUAGAAUGCAACCAAAAACAUUGCAACUUCUUUAUGGUGGCGGCAGUUAUAAAAGGUGAAACUACUUUUGUAAUUAAGAAGAUGAGAAUUAAGCACACUUGCCCUAUUAGUACAGAGACAACAAGGGUAAGUGCCAAGUGGCUUGCACAGAAGUAUGAGUCACUAUUCAGAUCUGAUCUAACAACUGGCAUUCAGACUUUGAUUGAUGCCUGCAUGGAGAAGUAUGGUGUGGAUGUGCCCAAGUCAAUGGCAUAUAGGGCAAAGAACCUAGCUAUUGAUGUUGUGCUAGGAGACCACAAGAAGCAAUACCCUAGGUUGAAAGACUAUGCUCAGACAGUGAUGGAUACAAACCCUGGGAGUAGAGUAGUAGUCACUACUGUAACUCCAACACCCACUGAAAAAAUCCCCCAUCCAGGUCCAAGAUUCCAUGCUAUGUUCUAUUGCAUCAAUGGAGCAAGGGAGGGGUUUCUCAAGGGGUGCAGACCAUUCAUUGGUUAG
Molecule: ribosomal RNA, 1077 nt
Filed under: Triticum aestivum (bread wheat)
Lineage: Eukaryota; Viridiplantae; Streptophyta; Magnoliopsida; Poales; Poaceae
Description: partial small subunit ribosomal RNA
Source: RNAcentral